CCUACGGGAGGCAGCAGUGAGGAAUAUUGGUCAAUGGACGAGAGUCUGAACCAGCCAAGUAGCGUGAAGGAUGACUGCCCUAUGGGUUGUAAACUUCUUUUAUCAAGGAAUAAAACGUGGCACGUGUGCCUUUUUGCAUGUACUUUAUGAAUAAGGAUCGGCUAACUCCGUGCCAGCCGCCGCGGUAAUACGGAGGAUCCGAGCGUUAUCCGGAUUUAUUGGGUUUAAAGGGAGCGUAGAUGGGUUGUUAAGUCAGUUGUGAAAGUUUGCGGCUCAACCGUAAAAGUGCAAUUGAUACUGGCAGUCUUGAGUACAGUUGAGGUAGGCGGAAUGCGGGGUGUAGCGGUGAAAUGCUUAGAUAUCACGAAGAACCCCGAUUGCGAAGGCAGCUUACUAAACUGUGACUGACAUUGAUGCUCGAAAGUGUGGGUAUCAAACAGGAUUAGAUACCCGAGUAGUC
RNAcentral lists this ribosomal RNA (460 nucleotides) under uncultured bacterium. RNAcentral's name for it is "partial 16S ribosomal RNA". It matches the Rfam family "Bacterial small subunit ribosomal RNA", at positions 338 to 795 of the family's 1533-position model. The record is from RNAcentral.